This 253-nucleotide ribosomal RNA is filed under the name uncultured bacterium. RNAcentral's name for it is "partial 16S ribosomal RNA". It matches the Rfam family "Bacterial small subunit ribosomal RNA", at positions 524 to 776 of the family's 1533-position model. The record is from RNAcentral.
UACGGAGGGAGCUAGCGUUGUUCGGAAUUACUGGGCGUAAAGCGCACGUAGGCGGCUUUGUAAGUCAGAGGUGAAAGCCUGGAGCUCAACUCCAGAACUGCCUUUGAGACUGCAUCGCUUGAAUCCAGGAGAGGUGAGUGGAAUUCCGAGUGUAGAGGUGAAAUUCGUAGAUAUUCGGAAGAACACCAGUGGCGAAGGCGGCUCACUGGACUGGUAUUGACGCUCAUGCACGGAAGCGUGGGGAGCAAACAGG